UUUAUUGGAGAGUUUGAUCCUGGCUCAGGAUGAACGCUGGCGGCGUGCCUAAUACAUGCAAGUCGAGCGAAUGGAUUAAGAGCUUGCUCUUAUGAAGUUAGCGGCGGACGGGUGAGUAACACGUGGGUAACCUGCACAUAAGACUGGGAUAACUCCGGGAAACCGGGGCUAAUACUGGAUAAUAUUUUGGACCUCAUGGUUCAAAAUUGAAAGGCGGCUUCGGCUGUCACUUAUGGAUGGACCCGCGUCGCAUUAGCUAGUUGGUGAGGUAACGGCUCACCAAGGCAACGAUGCGUAGCCGACCUGAGAGGGUGAUCGGCCACACUGGGACUGAGACACGGCCCAGACUCCUACGGGAGGCAGCAGUAGGGAAUCUUCCGCAAUGGACGAAAGUCUGACGGAGCAACGCCGCGUGAGUGAUGAAGGCUUUCGGGUCGUAAAACUCUGUUGUUAGGGAAGAACAAGUGCUAGUUGAAUAAGCUGGCACCUUGACGGUACCUAACCAGAAAGCCACGGCUAACUACGUGCCAGCAGCCGCGGUAAUACGUAGGUGGCAAGCGUUAUCCGGAAUUAUUGGGCGUAAA
Molecule: ribosomal RNA, 584 nt
Filed under: Bacillus cereus
Lineage: Bacteria; Bacillati; Bacillota; Bacilli; Caryophanales; Bacillaceae
Description: bacterial SSU rRNA
Rfam family: Bacterial small subunit ribosomal RNA
Source: RNAcentral